RNAcentral lists this unclassified non-coding RNA (180 nucleotides) under fungal sp. Its description in RNAcentral is "partial internal transcribed spacer region". The stretch from base 1 to 46 matches the Rfam family "Eukaryotic small subunit ribosomal RNA", at positions 1786 to 1831 of the family's 1831-position model. The record is from RNAcentral. Lineage: Eukaryota; Fungi.
AAGUCGUAACAAGGUUUCCGUAGGUGAACCUGCGGAAGGAUCAUUACUGAUUUGGCGGACCGAGCGUCAGCGAGGUCUCGCGAUCACUUGUAUUUAAAACCCACACUUUGAAUGUAAUAUGUAUAUUUUUGUAUUUUUAAUAAUAAAAGAUCACUUUCAACAACGGAUCUCUUGGCUCUC